This 36-nucleotide ribosomal RNA is filed under the name Chenopodium formosanum. The record is from RNAcentral. Lineage: Eukaryota; Viridiplantae; Streptophyta; Magnoliopsida; Caryophyllales; Amaranthaceae.
GGUGACCUCCUGGGAAGUCCUCGUGUUUCACCCCUU